UACGGAGGGGGCGAGCGUUAUUCGGAAUUAUUGGGCGUAAAGGGCGCGUAGGCGGCCUAGCAAGUCAAAGGUGAAAUCUCCUGGCUCAACUGGGAGGGUGCGCUGGAAACUGCGGUGCUAGAGUGCGGGAGAGGAAAGCGGAAUUCCUGGUGUAGCGGUGAAAUGCGUAGAGAUCAGGAGGAACACCUGUGGUGUAGACGGCUUUCUGGACCGUGACUGACGCUGAGGUACGAAAGCGUGGGGAGCAAACAGG
RNAcentral lists this ribosomal RNA (253 nucleotides) under uncultured bacterium. RNAcentral's name for it is "partial 16S ribosomal RNA". It matches the Rfam family "Bacterial small subunit ribosomal RNA", at positions 524 to 776 of the family's 1533-position model. The record is from RNAcentral.